This 70-nucleotide transfer RNA is filed under the name marine eukaryotic metagenome. It matches the Rfam family "tRNA". From Rfam's summary of the family: Transfer RNA (tRNA) molecules are approximately 80 nucleotides in length. Their secondary structure includes four short double-helical elements and three loops (D, anti-codon, and T loops). Further hydrogen bonds mediate the characteristic L-shaped molecular structure. tRNAs have two regions of fundamental functional importance: the anti-codon, which is responsible for specific mRNA codon recognition, and the 3' end, to which the tRNAs corresponding amino acid is attached (by aminoacyl-tRNA synthetases). tRNAs cope with the degeneracy of the genetic code in two manners: having more than one tRNA (with a specific anti-codon) for a particular amino acid; and 'wobble' base-pairing, i.e. permitting non-standard base-pairing at the 3rd anti-codon position. The record is from RNAcentral.
CGGAAGUAGCUCAGCUGGUAGAGCGCCUCGUUGCCAACGAGAAGGUCGCGGGUUCGAAUCCCGUUUUCCG